This 299-nucleotide RNase P RNA is filed under the name Flavobacteriales bacterium. RNAcentral's name for it is "RNase P RNA component class A". It matches the Rfam family "Bacterial RNase P class A". From Rfam's summary of the family: Ribonuclease P (RNase P) is a ubiquitous endoribonuclease, found in archaea, bacteria and eukarya as well as chloroplasts and mitochondria. Its best characterised activity is the generation of mature 5'-ends of tRNAs by cleaving the 5'-leader elements of precursor-tRNAs. RNAcentral also lists the same sequence under 1 other name. The record is from RNAcentral. Lineage: Bacteria; Pseudomonadati; Bacteroidota; Flavobacteriia; Flavobacteriales.
UGUAGUUACUGAUGCUAUCGCUUCAUUAUUGAAGAGGAAAGUCCGGACACCAAAGAGUAGUAUAGCGGAUAACAUCCGUCCAGUGUGAACUGAGGACAAGUGCAACAGAAAGAAUGUACAGUUUGGCUGUAGUGAAAUCAUGUAAACUCUAUGCGGUGCAAUGCCAUGUAUACCAGGAUUAAAGGAUUACUCGUCUUUUCUUGGGGGGUAGGCAGCUUGACAUAAAGAGUAAUUUUUAUGCUAGAUAAAUGAUGGCACCUUUUUAGGAACAGAAUCCGGCUUACGUGUAAUUACAAUUU